GAAGAGAGAAGAUGCGAAACAAAGAGGAGAGAAGGAAAUAGAGGUUUUCUUUUGGUGAAUUCACUCCCUCGUCUUUUGCACUUUGUUUGUUUGUUUUUUCUUUUCCUGUGUGCUUGCUAUUAUUUUCUG
RNAcentral lists this non-coding RNA (129 nucleotides) under uncultured Mamiellales. The record is from RNAcentral. Lineage: Eukaryota; Viridiplantae; Chlorophyta; Mamiellophyceae; Mamiellales.